UUCAUUAAACUCCCUACCCAAAUGAAGGAACCUAAUCUCUCUGAAGAACACUGAAGCCCCCGAAUUUCUGCGAGAAAGAUCUUCGUCUCGCCCAGAAUUUUGACCUCCGACGACAAAAGCCUCACCACUUCAAGAUAACCGGUGUGCAUGAUAACGUAUGUAAAGCCUGACCAACUUGCAAAACGCAACUCCUCCUUGACCAAUUUGGCAUGCAACGGAGAGAGGCGCACCUCCAAACAACGGGAUAAGGUAAAAAUCACUUUCCUUUCAUGAUCUUGGAUUAGGGUCCCAAUUCCAGUAUGAGGGAGAUUCAGAAAACAGGCAGUAUCAAUGAAAAUAUGGAAGGACAAAAUCAGGACAAGGGGAAUUGGGAUCCACCUGGGCUGCUAAUUUAUGGGCAGAAAGUUCACCAUCGGAGGAUUGAUUGCCCAGCUCACGGCCACUGAUAGUUCCAACUUGUGUGAAUCAAACGGAGCUAAAAGGGAAUGCUAGAAAUCUUCAAAACUCUCAGAGCCAAAUCAGUCUAUCUGCACCAAAGGCUGCACCUGAGUUUCAUAGAGAUAGCCGACCAAUUUCUGCCACUCACCGUCUCAGAAUUUGCAUAUCAUUUUGUAUGUACAUCUAAAAUGACUUAUACUGGAAUAGUUGUACCUUUUGUGGUUGUACAACAUGUUUAGAAGUCAUGGUCGAAUAGUUAUUUUUGAAAUGAAUUAUGUUACACUUUAUGUUUUAUAUGUUGAAGAAUAAUCUAAAUUAGUUUUAGAAAUUUAGAAAGACGUUGACUAUAGACUUGGUAGAUGGUUGGAGGUCUAUGGUCGGCACGACUUGUCCUAUAGUUAGUAGGUGUUUAGGGCAGGUCGUGUCAAUAGUCCUCACGGCUUUGCUUUUGGUUUCACCUAAAAGACUUCAUGCCAAUGGAGAUGGUUGUUCUAUCUUAUAUACCUAUGAUCAUUCACUUCCCUAGCCAAUGUGGGACUUUGU
Momordica charantia (bitter melon) is the source of this 981-nucleotide RNA transcript. RefSeq lists it as uncharacterized. NCBI's taxonomy places the organism in Eukaryota, Viridiplantae, Streptophyta, Magnoliopsida, Cucurbitales, Cucurbitaceae. The record is from RefSeq and is a predicted model, not a curated record.